RNAcentral lists this transfer RNA (73 nucleotides) under Bos taurus (domestic cattle). It matches the Rfam family "tRNA". From Rfam's summary of the family: Transfer RNA (tRNA) molecules are approximately 80 nucleotides in length. Their secondary structure includes four short double-helical elements and three loops (D, anti-codon, and T loops). RNAcentral also lists the same sequence under 2 other names. The record is from Rfam by way of RNAcentral. Lineage: Eukaryota; Metazoa; Chordata; Mammalia; Artiodactyla; Bovidae.
UCGUUGGUGGUCCAGUGGUUAGGACUCUGCACUGCCACUGCAGGAGGCCUGGGUUCCAUCCUUGGUUGAAGAA